Zonotrichia albicollis (white-throated sparrow) is the source of this 2367-nucleotide non-coding RNA. Lineage: Eukaryota; Metazoa; Chordata; Aves; Passeriformes; Passerellidae. The record is from RefSeq and is a predicted model, not a curated record.
CGCUUGGGGCGCUCGGGACCGCAGGAGAAGUGCCACCGGCAGCUGUCAUUGGUUUGGCCAUUUGUAUGGCAUUUGUGUCUGAGUUCGGCCUUAUUUGGCUGUGCCAUAUCUGGGAGCAUAAAAACUAUUUUUCAUGAAGUUAUUAUUAGAAUUGGCAACUGUCCCAUUGUUGGUGUCCACACAUUUGCGUUCACAAGUACACACUUGGCCUGUUUGUACCUGACAUGAAACACAGCUUUGCAUCUCACAGGUAUGCUCAUUUAUGAAGGUAAGUACAAAAAUCUGAAUUUUUCCUGUAUUACACUGAGCCCCCAAUAUAUUUUGCAAUUGCACUUUCCUCUGUAUUUUUUCAUGCUGAUGUCACUGGCAGUGACAUGCUCUGUGCUAAGUGCUGGAUUGGAUGGUUGGCUGGGAGAUGCCUUUAGUUUUAUGGCACACAGGGGCCUAAGGAGGGUGUGCGGGUGUCCCUGUGCUCUGGCACCAGCUGAGGUGCAGGAGCACUUCCAGGGCUGCCUCCAGGCAUGAUGAGCUGGAGGCUGGAGUUAAAGCUGUGCCUUCUGCUGACCAGCUGAUACCACCUCUGACCGUGAACAGCUGGGCCUGAUAUAAUAAAUAGAGCUUUCUUCCUUUCUUACUAAGAGCCAGAGUCUGAUAAAAUGGAUUCUUCAUCCUGCUCUGACCAGUGAAUACCAGGGUUCAUUUCCACAAAUUUCCUGCUUUAUCUGCUUUGUACCUGCCAGCUACAUGAGCCAUAAUGUCCUGCUACUCAGCUUCCUUGAGAGAAGCAAGCAUUUCUUUGGAAAAGAGCUCUUCACUAACAGUUGGACUCACAAGUGGCUCAUUGAUGUCCCUCUAAUUCCCAAGUUGUUCCACAUCUACAGCUGCCUUUUAGGGAUGGACCCUGAUGCUCCUCUGAUUUCUGUGGGAUCUUCUUUGCCUAACACUUUCAAGAAUGAGCUAGAAGAGGCAAGUCGAGGUUCAAGGGAAGGACUUGUGUUUCCUACUUCAUCCUGGGUCAUUUAAUUUGAAAAGUUUUAGACUUUGAUUUUCAACAGUGAAUUGUCAUCGGCCCAGACUUCAAAAUCUCUAGCACAUUCAUGUUUUCAACAUUAAAGUUUUUACACGCUAAAACAGUACUUUUUACUGAAUUUGAGUAAAAAAUUAAAUGGGUGAAGAUCCCUCCACUUAGUGUUUUGCUUAGUGAAAAUUCCAUAUUGAUACAGAAUAAAGUGGAUUUAUUUGGAUACUCCUGAAAACACCCUGCCUUCCUUCUCCCCUUCCUUUGCUCAGUGCAAGGAAUAGCAACAUUUCUUAUGUCAUAUAUGUUUGCCACUUUGCCAAACAUUUUGGAACAAGCAAAACUGAGUGACGCCUUUUUUCACCAAAACAUGCAAGCACUUGUGCGAAUGUUUCAAAUUUCCAAAAGUCAAGCUAAGGCUAUCAUCAGUACUUGCCCUGACUGUCAGCUUGUGUAGCCUCCUGUUUCUACAGGAGCAGUCAACCCACGAUGUUUGCAAAGCCUGCAGUUAUGGCAAACAGAUAUCACUAAAUACCCUUCCUUUGGUAAAUUUAAAAAUAUUCAUGUUUCAGUAGACAUGUUCUCUGGUGCAAUUUUUGCUUCUCUUCACACAGGUGAAAUAAGUAAUAAUGUAAUGAGACUGAUGCUGAAAAAUAAACAGCUCAACGCACUUUCCCAGCAGCCCCAUCUUGUUCAUAGUCUGUAAAUAAACCCCCUCGCCAGUGUAAGUUUGAAGAUCAUACAUUUAGUAAUGCAAGGUAGUUAAAAUCAUCUGUUCUGGAAUCCCUUCCCAACUUCAAAACCCACACACCUAAUUUUUUCCUCCAGCUACAGCAAACCUAGACAUCUUUCCCCUGCUUUCUCUAUUGUAAUUGACUAGUCCUUUCUCUCUUUCAUCACUGAUUUGGUCAAAUAAAACUAAAAUGCUUUGAUCGCUUAAAGCAUAGUGAUCUAGUCAGCAUAUUUCCUAUUUUCCCAUUUAUUAGGCAACAAGACUUAAUUCUGACAGGUAAUAAAUACAUGCAGUGAGGGGUGGUCUUAAUUUAGGAGUCUGGCUAGCAGGAGGGGCAACCAACAACCCACUGCAACAGGACGAGCGCCCCUCGCCAUCUAUGGCCUCAGGCUGCACUCGUGGCAGACGGAUUCGCUGCUGAUGAGACAGAAGAGUCUGGACACUCACUGGGGACUGUGGGAUUUAUUGUAGAACCCAACGUGUCAACCAGGGAGUGACCCGGAACAAGGGGUGCAAUAGGGUUAUAAAGGGGGGAGGAAUUCCAAUAGGGGAAGGUAAAGGAGCGGGCUUAAGAUGAUAGGCAUAAGGGUAGAACCAAUAGAUACAAUGUAAGGGA